UAUUAAUAUAAACAAUAACUCCAACCAAUAAAUUAAAUCAUUCUAAAUAUCCUAGUAUGGGCGACAGAAAAGAUUCAACAAAGCAAUAGAAAAAGUACCGCAAGGGAAAGCUGAAAGAGAAAUGAAAUAAACCAUAUAAGUAUUAAAAAGCAGAGCUUAACCCUCGUACCUUUUGCAUCAUGAUUUAGCCAGUAUAAUAAAGCAAAGAGACCUUUAGUUUUACACCCCGAAACCAGGUGAGCUACCCCGAGACAGCCUAUUCAUUUAGGGCAAACUCAUCUCUGUGGCAAAAGAGUGAGAAGAGCUCCGGGUAGAAGUGACAGACCUACCGAACCUGGUGAUAGCUGGUUGUCUAAGAAAUGAAUAGAAGUUCAGCCUCGUAUACCCCAAAUUUAAAAUUUAAAAUUAAAAUUAAGAGCAACAUACGAAAGUUAGUUAAAAGGGGUACAGCCCUUUUAACACAGGAUACAACCUUUAAAGGAGAAUAAAGAUCAUAAUAAACAAAACAUAAUGUCCUAGUGGGCCUAAGAGCAGCCAUCUAAAUAAAAAGCGUUAAAGCUUAAACAAAAACAGUUCAUAAUACUGAUAAAAAAUCUUACUUCCCUAAAAGUACUAGACCAAUCCAUGCACCCAUGGAAGAAACUAUGCUAAAAUGAGUAACAAGAAGAACACAACCUUCUCCCCGCAUGAGUGUAAGUUAGAUUGGACCAACCACUAACAAUUAACGAACCCAAUAAAAGAGGGAAUUGUGAAUAUUAAACUAAAUAAGAUCUCACAACCAAUAAUCGUUAUCCCCACACUGGUAUGCAUAACAAGGAAAGACUAAAAGAAAGGGAAGGAACUCGGCAAACACAAGCCUCGCCUGUUUACCAAAAACACCGCCUCCUGCAAAAACAAAUAUAGGAGGUCCAGCCUGCCCAGUGACUUCAAGUUCAACGGCCGCGGUAUUCUGACCGUGCAAAGGUAGCGCAAUCACUCGUCCCUUAAAUAAGGUCCUGUAUGAAUGGCUAGACGAGGGCUUAACUGUCUCCCCCUUCAGGUCAGUGAAAUUGAUCUAUC
RNAcentral lists this ribosomal RNA (1059 nucleotides) under Devario apogon. Its description in RNAcentral is "partial 16S ribosomal RNA". The stretch from base 148 to 1052 matches the Rfam family "Bacterial large subunit ribosomal RNA", at positions 568 to 2044 of the family's 2925-position model. Lineage: Eukaryota; Metazoa; Chordata; Actinopteri; Cypriniformes; Danionidae. The record is from RNAcentral.